Panicum virgatum (switchgrass) is the source of this 1049-nucleotide long non-coding RNA. RefSeq lists it as uncharacterized. The transcript is spliced from 5 exons. The record is from RefSeq and is a predicted model, not a curated record. Lineage: Eukaryota; Viridiplantae; Streptophyta; Magnoliopsida; Poales; Poaceae.
AGGGGGUGAGGAGGAGGGGGUAGCAGGGGGUACGCGGGUGUGGUUACGAGGACCGUCGACACUCCCGCCGCGACCGAUUAUUCAACCCGCAAGGCCUCUGAAUUGGGUGAUGCUGUCUAGAGGUGCCCACAACCAGAAGCCCAAUGGCAUCCUCGGUGCUCUGUGUAGGGAGCACUUCCCUGGGCUCGUGGAGCAUGCCUGGGUCAGGGAGCCGACCUACACGUGGGACCACUACAUGGCCGUCGCAGAUGCAGAUGAUCGGGAAGGGAGGAAUUUCGGCACCAAGGCGAGGCGGGUGGUCGGGGAAUUGUGGGAUUUCUAUAGGUGCACUCCAGGUUAUGAGGCUAGGGCAAAUCAAGUGGCUAACAAAGCCUGCUAUAAACUGGUGAAGGACAUGCACUACGAGGCGCGCGUUCAGGCCAAUGUCCGAUACAUUGCCGAUUACGAGAAAAGGUCGAUCAAGAAAGGACCCGCAAGGGAACUCUUUCUCAGGCCGGAUCAAUACUCGAAGGAAGGCUGAGUGCUGGGCUAUGAUGGUCGAUAAGUGGAUGAGCAAGGAGUGGGCCCGGCAGCACACCUUAUGCCGGGAGCGCCGCUUCAUGAUGCCAGGUGCAGCGCACCAUCAAGGCAGUCGUAGCCUUCCCAAGUUUUAGGAGGUUUUGUCGGCACGACGUGAAGGGCAGCCUUGCAACGAGUUAACGGCAUACAUUAUGGCUCACAUGGGCAAUGCGACGUUCGAUGUCGCCUUCGACCCGGCGGCUCCGCCCGAGGCCUACACCAACCCGAACAUCCACACCCGCAUCACUCGGUACAUGGAGAUAGGAAAGGCGCUCCACGGGGACACAUGGGAUCCGGCCACCACACCCCUUUCUGGAGAAGCCAUCAUGAGGGCGGGAAGAGGGAAGAAGCACGGCCGGUACUGGCUCGGCGAUAGCGUAGUCGACACGGAUAGUACGCCCACUCUCUCGCAGCUUCAGGCAAGGACCACUGACUCGACCCCUCCCAUACUUCCAUGGUCCGAGACUUCUGUGGCCAGCAUGCAUGCAAUC